Non-coding RNA from Vigna umbellata (rice bean), 888 nucleotides. The record is from RefSeq and is a predicted model, not a curated record. NCBI's taxonomy places the organism in Eukaryota, Viridiplantae, Streptophyta, Magnoliopsida, Fabales, Fabaceae.
UGAAUUUGUAAAUUGCUACUAAUUUGAACUUUUUGAUGGUGAGAACUUUUUUUGUGUUGAAUCUGUUCUUGAUAUUUCAAAGUUUGAUUGUGUUUUCAAAUGGUGGCGUCCUAAUUGACAUAUGCCCGACUCCAAUUGCAGGUUAUGCAUUCAUCUGCAAGUUUUCUGGUUUAGUAGUGCUGCAGUUGGAAGUGGACUAUUCAUGUACUCCAGAAGAAGUGCAGCAGCAUUUCCAGUCAUGUGGAACUGUAAACAGAGUCACCAUCCGAACUGAUAAGUUUGGCCAACCAAAGGGCUAUGCUUACGUAGAGUUUCUUGAAGUGCAGGCUGUUCAAGAAGCUCUUUCGCUGAAUGAAUCUGAACUACACGGGCGUCAAUUGAAGGUUACUGCUAAGAGGACCAAUAUACCAGGGAUGAAGCAAUAUCGUCCUCGCCGGCCUAAUCCUUACCAGGGGUUUCGAGGCAGAGCCCCGUAUGCACCUCCUUUUGCUUAUGCUCCUUUUGGAUAUGGAAAAGUUCCGAGGUUUAGAAUGGGAAUGCGGUAUAGUCCCUACUAUUAAUUAUGCUGAAUCAGAACUUUUGUCUAAUGGAUGGAAGGACAUAACCUACUCCUUGUUCUAGUGUCAUGGCUGAUGCAGGCCAUUCAGCAUGAGGGAACGAACAGUACGACCACCGAUUUAGCAGCAAACCCUUGAGCAACUUGGUCACGAAAAAGCAUUGAAAAAUGUGGAAGAACUGACUCAGGAAUACGAUGUCUAGAGGCAUAGACCAAAUCCAAUUAUGGUAGUUAUUUUAUAACAGAGGGUAAAACCAAAUAACCAGGUAUCUUUAUAAAGUGUAAAUUUUAUUAUUCAAUUUUCUCGCAUGAAUACACUAACACGUUCAUGA